This 301-nucleotide ribosomal RNA is filed under the name uncultured bacterium. Its description in RNAcentral is "partial 16S ribosomal RNA". It matches the Rfam family "Bacterial small subunit ribosomal RNA", at positions 509 to 808 of the family's 1533-position model. The record is from RNAcentral.
CAGUAGCCGCGGUAAUACGUAGGGUGCAAGCGUUAAUCGGAAUUACUGGGCGUAAAGCGUGCGCAGGCGGUUAUAUAAGACAGAUGUGAAAUCCCCGGGCUCAACCUGGGAACUGCAUUUGUGACUGUAUAGCUAGAGUACGGCAGAGGGGGAUGGAAUUCCGCGUGUAGCAGUGAAAUGCGUAGAUAUGCGGAGGAACACCGAUGGCGAAGGCAAUCCCCUGGGCCUGUACUGACGCUCAUGCACGAAAGCGUGGGGAGCAAACAGGAUUAGAUACCCCAGUAGUCCCUGUCUCUUAACA